Molecule: ribosomal RNA, 468 nt
Filed under: uncultured bacterium
Lineage: Bacteria
Description: partial 16S ribosomal RNA
Rfam family: Bacterial small subunit ribosomal RNA
Source: RNAcentral
GACGAACGCUGGCGGCGUGCUUAACACAUGCAAGUCGAACGGAAAGGCCCUGCUUUUGUGGGGUGCUCGAGUGGCGAACGGGUGAGUAACACGUGAGUAACCUGCCCUUGACUUUGGGAUAACUUCAGGAAACUGGGGCUAAUACCGGAUAGGAGCUCCUGCUGCAUGGUGGGGGUUGGAAAGUUUCGGCGGUUGGGGAUGGACUCGCGGCUUAUCAGCUUGUUGGUGGGGUAGUGGCUUACCAAGGCUUUGACGGGUAGCCGGCCUGAGAGGGUGACCGGCCACAUUGGGACUGAGAUACGGCCCAGACUCCUACUGGAGGCAGCAGUGUGGAAUAUUCCACAAUGGGCGGAAGCCUGAUGCAGCAACGCCGCGUGCGGGAUGACGGCCUUCGGGUUGUAAACCGCUUUCGCCUGUGACGAAGCGUGAGUGACGGUAAUGGGUAAAGAAGCACCGGCUAACUACGUG